This 290-nucleotide ribosomal RNA is filed under the name Corethron hystrix. RNAcentral describes it as "partial Bacterial large subunit ribosomal RNA". It matches the Rfam family "Bacterial large subunit ribosomal RNA", at positions 2262 to 2551 of the family's 2925-position model. The record is from RNAcentral. Lineage: Eukaryota; Bacillariophyta; Corethrophyceae; Corethrales; Corethraceae.
UGGGCAGUUUGACUGGGGCGGUCGCCUCCUAAAAGGUAACGGAGGCGCCCAAAGGUUCCCUCAGAAUGGUUGGAAAUCAUUCGUAGAGUGUAAAGGCACAAGGGAGCUUGACUGCGAGACCUACAAGUCGAGCAGGGACGAAAGUCGGGCUUAGUGAUCCGGUGGUUCCGCAUGGAAGGGCCAUCGCUCAACGGAUAAAAGGUACUCCGGGGAUAACAGGCUGAUACCGCCCAAGAGUUCAUAUCGACGGCGGUGUUUGGCACCUCGAUGUCGGCUCAUCACAUCCUGGG